GAGCGUGUGGAGGACCGAACCCACCUAGGUUGAAAACUGGGGGGAUGAGCUGUGGAUAGGGGUGAAAGGCCAAUCAAACUCUGUGAUAGCUGGUUCUCCCCGAAAUGCAUUUAGGUGCAGCGUUACGUGUUUCUUGCCGGAGGUAGAGCUACUGGAUGGCCGAUGGGCCUUCACGGGUUACUGACGUCAGCUAAACUCCGAAUGCCGGUAAGUGAGAGCGUAGCAGUGAGACAGUGGGGGAUAAGCUUCAUUGUCGAGAGGGAAACAGCCCAGACCACCAACUAAGGCCCCUAAGCGUGUGCUAAGUGGGAAAGGAUGUGGAGUUGCUUAGACAACCAGGAGGUUGGCUUAGAAGCAGCCAUCCUUGAAAGAGUGCGUAAUAGCUCACUGGUCAAGUGAUUCUGCGCCGAUAAUGUAGCGGGGCUCAAGUACACCGCCGAAGUUGUGGCAAUGACCCUUUGGGGUUGUUGGGUAGGGGAGCGUCGUGUGGCCGGUGAAGCUGCGGUGUAAACCAGUGGUGGAGGCUAUGCGAGUGAGAAUGCAGGCAUGAGUAGCGAAAGAUGAGUGAGAAACUCAUCCGCCGGAUGAUCAAGGGUUCCAGGGUCAAGUUAAUCUGCCCUGGGUUAGUCGGGGCCUAAGGCGAGGCCGACAGGCGUAGUCGAUGGAGAACGGGUUGAUAUUCCCGUACCGGUGAAAAACCGCCCAUACUGAUAUUGUGAUGCUAACCAUGCGAAGCAUGAUGUGCAGGCUUUUGUUUGUGUGUUGUGUGGGUUGUGGGACCCGAUCUUUGGAGGUAAACGUGUUAACAGGUGUGACGCAGGAAGGUAGCCAAGCCACGCGAUGGUUGUCGUGGUCUAAGCGUGUAGGGUUGUCGGUUGUUAAAUGCGCCGGCUGUGUGCCUGAGACGUGAUGGGACCCCGUUUUUGGGGGAUUUGGUGAUCCUAUGCUGCCGAGAAAAGCAUCGGCGUGAGGUUUUAGCCGCCCGUACCCUAAACCGACACAGGUGAUCAGGUAGAGAAUACUAAGGCGAUCGAGAGAAUCAUGGUUAAGGAACUCGGCAAAAUGCCCCCGUAACUUCGGGAGAAGGGGGACCUUGAGCGUGAUGGGCACUUGCUGCCUGGAGCGUGUAUGGGUCGCAGAGACCAGGGGGAAGCGACUGUUUAUCAAAAACACAGGUCCGUGCGAAGUCGUAAGACGAUGUAUACGGACUGACUCCUGCCCGGUGCUGGAAGGUUAAGAGGAUUGGUUAGCCUUUUUUGGGCGAAGCUGAGAAUUUAAGCCCCAGUAAACGGCGGUGGUAACUAUAACCAUCCUAAGGUAGCGAAAUUCCUUGUCGGGUAAGUUCCGACCUGCACGAAUGGAGUAACGACUUCCCUACUGUCUCAACCAUGAACUCGGCGAAAUUGCAGUACGAGUAAAGAUGCUCGUUUCGCGCAGCAGGACGGAAAGACCCCGUGACCUUUACUAUAGUUUGGUAUUGGUGUUUGGUUUGGCUUGUGUAGGAUAGGUGGGAGACUGUGAAGCAUGGACGCUAGUUUGUGUGGAGUCGUUGUUGAAAUACCACUCUGGUCAAUCUGGAUGUCUAACUUCGGGCCAUGAUCUGGUUCAGGGACAGUGCCUGAUGGGUAGUUUAACUGGGGCGGUUGCCUCCUAAAGUGUAACGGAGGCGCCCAAAGGUUCCCUCAGCCUGGUUGGCAAUCAGGUGUUGAGUGUAAGUGCACAAGGGAGCUUGACUGUGAGACUGGCAGGUCGAGCAGGGACGAAAGUCGGGACUAGUGAUCCGGCGGUACGUUGUGGAACGGCCGUCGCUCAACGGAUAAAAGGUACCUCGGGGAUAACAGGCUGAUCUUGCCCAAGAGUCCAUAUCGACGGCAUGGUUUGGCA
Molecule: ribosomal RNA, 1884 nt
Filed under: human metagenome
Description: bacterial LSU rRNA
Rfam family: Bacterial large subunit ribosomal RNA
Source: RNAcentral